UCAAGAAACUUCCACAAUGGGCGAAAGCCUGAUGGAGCGACGUCGCGUGAUGGACGAAGUGCUUCGGCACGUAAACAUCUUUUAUGUGGGAUGAAAUUAUUGACAGUACCACAUGAAUAAGGGGCUCCUAACUCUGUGCCAGCAGGAGCGGUAAUACAGAGGCCCUAAGCGUUAUCCGGAAUCACUGGGCGUAAAGGGUGUCGAGGCGGUUGUAUUAGUCGUUCGUAAAAUCUACGAGCUUAACUUGUAGGCGGCGAACGAAACGGUACGACUUGAGGUUUGGAGAGGCGCGUGGAACUCACGGUGUAGGGGUGAAAUCCGUUGAUAUCGUGGGGAACACCAAAGGCGAAGGCAGCGCACUGGCCAAAAUCUGACGCUCACACACGAAAGCUAGGGUAGCGAAGAGGAUUAGAUACCCUAGUAGUCCCUGAGCGGGCUGGCAAGGCGCAU
RNAcentral lists this ribosomal RNA (450 nucleotides) under uncultured bacterium. Its description in RNAcentral is "bacterial SSU rRNA". It matches the Rfam family "Bacterial small subunit ribosomal RNA", at positions 355 to 825 of the family's 1533-position model. The record is from RNAcentral.